GAUUAACGCUGGCGGCGUGCAUAACACAUGCAAGUCGAACGAUGAAACUUAAAUGAUUUCUUCGGAAUGAACUUAAGUGGAUUAGUGGCGGACGGGUGAGUAACGCGUGAGUAACCUGCCUUACACAAGGGGAUAGCCGUUGGAAACGACGAAUAAUACCCUAUGAAACUAUCACUUCGCAUGAAGCGAUAGUCAAAGUGUUAGCGGUGUAAGAUGGACUUGCGUCUGAUUAGCUCGUUGGUGAGAAAAAAGCCCACCAAGGCAACGAUCAGUAGCCGGCUUGAGAGAGUGUACGGCCACAUUGGGACUGAGACACGGCCCAGACUCCUACGGGAGGCAGCAGUGGGGAAUUUUGCACAAUGGGGGAAACCCUGAUGCAGCGACGCCGCGUGAUUUAGAAGGCCUUCGGGUUGUAAAAAUCUUUUGUAUAGGAAGAAAAUGACAGUACUAUACGAAUAAGGUCCGGCUAAUUACGUG
Molecule: ribosomal RNA, 477 nt
Filed under: uncultured bacterium
Lineage: Bacteria
Description: partial 16S ribosomal RNA
Rfam family: Bacterial small subunit ribosomal RNA
Source: RNAcentral